Molecule: ribosomal RNA, 424 nt
Filed under: uncultured bacterium
Lineage: Bacteria
Description: partial 16S ribosomal RNA
Rfam family: Bacterial small subunit ribosomal RNA
Source: RNAcentral
AAUAUUGGAUUAUGGGCGAAAGCCUGAUCUAGCCAUGCCGCGCCGCUGAAGAAGGUCUUCGGAUGGUAAAGUACUUCAAGUUGGCAGGACGGGAUGUAGGCUAUUACCCUGCAAUUUUGACGUUACUAACCGAAUACGCACAGGCUAACUUCGUGUCAGUAGCCGCGGUAAUACGAAGGGUGUAAGCGUUAAUCGGAAUUACUGGGCGUAAAGCGCGCGUAGGUGGUUCAGUAAGUUGGAAGUGAAAGCCCCGGGCUCAACCUGGGAACUGCUUUCAAAACUAGCAAGCUAGAGUAUGGCAGAGGGUGGUGGAAUUUCCUGUGUAGCGGUGAAAUGCGUAGAUAUAGGAAGGAACACCAGUGGCGAAGGCGACCGCCUGGGCUGAUACUGACACUGAGGUGCGAAAGCGUGGGGAGCAAACAGG